GGACUACUGGGGUAUCUAAUCCCGUUCGCUCCCCCAGCUUUCGCACCUCAGCGUCAAGAAUGCCCCAGGAAGCCGCCUUCGCCACUGGUGUUCCUACCGAUAUCUACGCAUUUCACCGCUACACCGGUAAUUCCACUUCCCCCUAGCAUCUUCAAGACUGGUAGUAUCCACCGACCCUCCGGAGUUGAGCUCCGGGCUUUCACAGCGGACUUACCAACCCACCUACGCGCGCUUUACGCCCAGUAACUUCGGACAACGCUCGCCCCCUCCGUAUUACCGCGGCGGCUGGCAC
Molecule: ribosomal RNA, 292 nt
Filed under: uncultured bacterium
Lineage: Bacteria
Description: partial 16S ribosomal RNA
Source: RNAcentral